ACGUAAAACGACUCUCGGCAACGGAUAUCUCGGCUCUUGCAUCGAUGAAGAACGUAGCGAAAUGCGAUACUUGGUGUGAAUUGCAGAAUCCCGUGAACCAUCGAGUCUUUGAACGCAAGUUGCGCCCAAAGCCAUUAGGUUGAGGGCACGCCUGCCUGGGUGUCACAC
Molecule: ribosomal RNA, 168 nt
Filed under: Dolichopsis paraguariensis
Lineage: Eukaryota; Viridiplantae; Streptophyta; Magnoliopsida; Fabales; Fabaceae
Description: 5.8S ribosomal RNA
Rfam family: 5.8S ribosomal RNA
About the family: 5.8S ribosomal RNA (5.8S rRNA) is a component of the large subunit of the eukaryotic ribosome. It is transcribed by RNA polymerase I as part of the 45S precursor that also contains 18S and 28S rRNA. Functionally, it is thought that 5.8S rRNA may be involved in ribosome translocation.
Source: RNAcentral